AUCACCGUCGACGAACCGCCGCGCGUCGCGAGUGGCAAGGUUUCGUGCAACACUGGCCAACCCCAACCGUUGCGCGCACACGUCGUCGUUGCCUCACCUGGCGACUGCGCAUCGAACCCGUCGUCGCUCGUUGGCUAGCAGGAGAGACCCUCUUGCUCGUUCCCGUGCUUCAUUUCCCGCACGGUGAACUCACGCGCACGUACGCGCAACAAGGACGCGCAGCCCGGUGUUCGCUCGGCCGAAUGCACGCGACAAGGACCGAACGAGGCACGUUAAAAAAACGCGGAAAUUACCAGCUAACGACGAUAACGCGACGCACGGUACCUUUCGCGAUUCGAGAAACUUCUUCCAUCGAAUAUACCUGGAAAUAUACGUGGACGGCGUUUACGAGGAUUCCAGGUGCAGGUAGUUUUAGGAACGGACGAACGAGCGUCGUUGCACGUUGCCAGCAGCGAAAACGCAACGUAGCCAGGUUAAAAGAGGCAGAGAAGGGAAAGGCAGGUCAAAGCAGCGACGCACUGGCCAGGUGCGCAGACAUUCCACUCGCUUUGCGGUACGCUCGCCCCGCUUCCCCCGACCGCGAUUAUUUUCCACCUGGAGCGCCACGUUUUACUUUUUCAUGGCGGACCAUGGCGAGCGAUAGGAACGCAUACGGAUGCCCGAUUGGAGGAGGUGCGACAAGGGGAAGGUGGAAGGUGGUGAUCGCGAGGAAAGAAAAAUGGCGGCGAACCGAGGCGCGCUUCUUCCGAGUUAUAAAGAGGCUCUAUAACUGAUCGCAGAGUUUACGUUAAAUCGACCUAGGAAGGUGAAGGAAAGAGAGCGAAGGAGAGCCAACGAACAACAGGUUGGCGCGUCGAACGCGUGCGGUGGGAAGACGGGAGAACGAGAAGAGCUACGUGGAGACGGAGAAGCGGAAAACGGGAAAGCGAUCGUCGUUGGAUUUGGUAGGAAUAUCCGUAGAAGCGAAACGCUUAGCGCUAUGUAAGAGCGACGACGUCGUGACAGGGAGACCGGAUUGGUCGGUCACCUGUUGCCUGCCUGCUGUGAUUGGUCGGGCUCGACAGCGCGUAACGACGGCCAGAGGAGGACAAGUGCACCGUCGGCUGGUCUAUGAUGGACCAACAUCGAAAAUGGACAAAGUCGUAUACGUGUAAACCUUUGUCCUUGCUCGCGAACAAAUCAACUACGUUGUUAUUACCACACACCUUUUUGCUAUUCGCCAUUCACGUAAAUUCGUUCUUACGUUCGAUACGUACGUUUUACGUGCUCGUAUAUCGCAGCGGACAUUAUUGCUUUGACGUUUAUUUACGAGCUUAGUCUUUCGCUGCAUUCUACCAUAUAAAUAUUUAUCGGCGUUACCUUCGAAUUAUUUACGUUUCUCGAAUAAAGGUAAAGUUUAAGUACCUAUGCGGUAGUACGACAGAUAAAGAAAAGAUAUAUGUACAUACAUAUACGUACGUAUAUCUAAUGCGACAGCGGGUCUAAUAUUUGCGAUACGACUAUCGUGAAACACAAAAUUACAAAUCGACGUUGCGCAUACGACGGCACGUAUGGGACGGAACAGCAGGGACGAAAUCCUUGUACACGCGGCGGAACAGGUGUACAAAGUUCGCGCGAACAGGCGAUGGGAAUCGCGCGAGACCAAAGUCUACGCUCGAGGAGCAAAGUCUGCGCGGACGAUGGAAGGAAAGCCGGUUCGCGAUAUCGGACUCUGAACUUUUCGCGUUACAUUCGUUACAUUACUUCCACGUUGGCGAGUGUUACGCUGUUCGAGAAUAGACGCGAAUAUUAAACGUCCCGCGUAUAUUCCUAAUACGUAGCGUUCUCCGACGAUUCUCUUUGAUACCCGAAAGAGGCGAGGAUCGAGCGAAUGAACGUUCGCGAAGAUCUCUACGAGCCUCGUUAUUCUCUUAGUCGAUGAAUUAGACACGACAAAAGGCGGUUGAUUCGUUUAUCGAGCCUUCGACGAUCGCUCGUAAACGAGGCAGAAGCGCGAGAGGGCGAUACGAAAAAGAAAAGUUGCUCGAGUUAGGGACACCUGCCGAACAACACCUGCUGCUUCCUAAAGCGCGUUUCAGUCUUCUCCGGGCAAAAUUACGAUUAUUCGUUACGAUAACGUUGCGAUGCGAAAGUUAGCUCGAAAGAGAAAACCUGUAUUAAAAGAACAAAUUCUGCUUACAAAUCAAUAUAAUUAUAAAUAUAUUACGACAGGGUCACCGUAUAGCUUAACCUAGUGACGUUCGCCAGCGUGAAAUUAAUCUACCGCUCCGAUGCGUAUCGUAUCUCGUUUCACUAAUAACUUUGAUAUUUUGCUAUUUCGUCGAAUUGACAGGCCAAU
Molecule: long non-coding RNA, 2338 nt
Organism: Bombus impatiens (common eastern bumble bee)
Lineage: Eukaryota; Metazoa; Arthropoda; Insecta; Hymenoptera; Apidae
Exons: 3
Source: RefSeq, a predicted model, not a curated record